Molecule: ribosomal RNA, 429 nt
Filed under: Bacteroidota bacterium
Lineage: Bacteria; Pseudomonadati; Bacteroidota
Description: Bacteroidetes bacterium partial 16S ribosomal RNA
Rfam family: Bacterial small subunit ribosomal RNA
Source: RNAcentral
UAGGGAAUCUUCCGCAAUGGACGCAAGUCUGACGGAGCAACGCCGCGUGAGUGAAGAAGGAUUUCGGUUCGUAAAACUCUGUUGUUAGAGAAGAACAGCGCAUAGAGUAACUGUUAUGCGUGUGACGGUAUCUAACCAGAAAGCCACGGCUAACUACGUGCCAGCAGCCGCGGUAAUACGUAGGUGGCAAGCGUUGUCCGGAUUUAAUGGGCGUAAAGCGAGCGCAGGCGGUCAAUUAAGUCUGAUGUGAAAGCCCCCGGCUCAACCGGGGAGGGUCAUUGGAAACUGGUUGACUUGAGUGCAGAAGAGGAGAGUGGAAUUCCAUGUGUAGCGGUGAAAUGCGUAGAUAUAUGGAGGAACACCAGUGGCGAAGGCGACUCUCUGGUCUGUAACUGACGCUGAGGUUCGAAAGCGUGGGUAGCAAACAGG